GGAAUAAUCGUCAUUGGUAAGAUAACACGAUUGCUAAUCGUCUGGGAUAGCUCCCUUAAGCGUUCGACUCGCUUUUAUUCCG
This 82-nucleotide transfer RNA is filed under the name Gymnopilus junonius. Its description in RNAcentral is "tRNA-Ser". Lineage: Eukaryota; Fungi; Basidiomycota; Agaricomycetes; Agaricales; Galerinaceae. RNAcentral also lists the same sequence under 2 other names. The record is from RNAcentral.